CUUCCGCAAUGGGCGAAAGCCUGAGGAGCACGCCGCGUGAGUGAUGACGUUUCGGCUCGUAAACUCUGUUAUUAGGGAAGACACAUGUGUAAGUAACUGUGCACGUCUUGACGGUACCUAAUCAGAAAGCCACGGCUAACUACGUGCCAGCAGCCGCGGUAAUACGUAGGUGGCA
This 175-nucleotide ribosomal RNA is filed under the name uncultured Staphylococcus sp. Its description in RNAcentral is "partial 16S ribosomal RNA". It matches the Rfam family "Bacterial small subunit ribosomal RNA", at positions 363 to 536 of the family's 1533-position model. Lineage: Bacteria; Bacillati; Bacillota; Bacilli; Caryophanales; Staphylococcaceae. The record is from RNAcentral.